AUGUGCUGCUUCUAAUCGUCUUCGGACAAUUUAUUGACCAUUUGACCUCAAAUCAGGUAGGACUACCCGCUGAACUUAAGCAUAUCAAUAAGCGGAGG
Molecule: ribosomal RNA, 98 nt
Filed under: Gymnopilus cf. flavidellus Murphy 2452
Lineage: Eukaryota; Fungi; Basidiomycota; Agaricomycetes; Agaricales; Galerinaceae
Description: partial 28S ribosomal RNA
Rfam family: Eukaryotic large subunit ribosomal RNA (bases 43-98)
Source: RNAcentral